This is a non-coding RNA of Punica granatum (pomegranate), 734 nucleotides long. Lineage: Eukaryota; Viridiplantae; Streptophyta; Magnoliopsida; Myrtales; Lythraceae. The record is from RefSeq and is a predicted model, not a curated record.
CUGUUUUCCCACUCUUCUCGACCCCAGAUGGCUGGUGAGUCUUACUUUGUCUCCAGUGCCUGCCUUCUCUGCAGUAGCAAGUACUGAAACUCGCAGAGAAAACGACAAUGGUGAUAAGAAACACAAACGCGAGCUUCUUUUGGUGGUUAAAGAGGAUUUCAUUCGGGUCCUAUAUAUAAGGGGAGCAGAGAGGGAAGAGAAGCUGUCAGCUGAACUGAAGUGGGCUACUGUGCAACCAUGUGAGGAACAGUGUUCAUCAGCUAAAAGAGGUACCGUGAACUUACAUUUCAUUUUCAGUUACUUUCUUGGUGACAUUUGGUUAACUUAAUUUUCCGGCCUGGUCCUAUUCCAAGUUUUUGGCAUUGCUCAUUGUGAGUACACUGACAUGGACCGUUAUAUCGGACAAAGAGGGCAAUCUUCUUGACGAAUUCCCUCCGUUCAACAUUGGAUUUGCUUCCUUCUGUUUGUACUGUUGCUCUCGUUCCUAUUCUAUUCUGCUUAUAGUUAAAGCCCCCUUCAUGUUGUGUCUGCUUCGUCUAUAUGUUGGACGUUGAGUACUGACAAAGGCAUAAGGUUUGUAUGGCUAGGUCGAGUUUUGCCGCAUUUUGGAUGCUGCAGGCGAUGGGAAGUUAGGGAAGGUUUUGAAAUACUCAAUGAACUGCAAUUGUUUGGUUUGCCCUGGUAUCCAAAUCCGGGUUCCAUCCUUGAAUACAACGACUUAAGUUAUUGACCUC